UACAGAGGUGGCAAGCGUUGUUCGGAAUUACUGGGCGUAAAGGGCGCGUAGGCGGCCAUCUAAGUCAGACGUGAAAUCCCCCGGCUCAACCUGGGAACUGCGUCUGAUACUGGGAGGCUAGAGUUUGGGAGAGGGAUGUAGAAUUCCAGGUGUAGCGGUGAAAUGCGUAGAUAUCUGGAGGAAUACCGGUGGCGAAGGCGGCAUCCUGGACCAAUACUGACGCUGAGGCGCGAAAGCUAGGGGAGCAAACGGG
This 253-nucleotide ribosomal RNA is filed under the name uncultured bacterium. Its description in RNAcentral is "partial 16S ribosomal RNA". It matches the Rfam family "Bacterial small subunit ribosomal RNA", at positions 524 to 776 of the family's 1533-position model. The record is from RNAcentral.